GCCAGGCGCGGUGGCACAUGCCUGUAAUCCCAGCAGUUCCGGAGGCUGAGGCAGGAGGAUCAUGAGUUCAAAGUCAGCCUCAGAAAAAGCAAGGCACUAAGCAACUCGGUGAGACCCUGUCUCUA
Molecule: small RNA, 125 nt
Filed under: Marmota monax (woodchuck)
Lineage: Eukaryota; Metazoa; Chordata; Mammalia; Rodentia; Sciuridae
Source: RNAcentral